GGACGAACGCUGGCGGCGUGCUUAACACAUGCAAGUCGAACGAAAAUACCAAGCUUGCUUGGUUGAUUAGUGGCGAACGGGUGAGUAACACGUGAGUAACCUGCCCCUUACUUUCCUGGAUAACUGCUCGAAAGGGUAGCUAAUACGGGAUAUUCUGACUGGUCCGCAUGGGUUGGUUUGGAAAGGUUUAUUUUCUGGUAAGGGAUGGGCUCGCGGCCUAUCAGCUUGUUGGUGGGGUGAUGGCCUACCAAGGCUUUGACGGGUAGCCGGCCUGAGAGGGUGGACGGUCACACUGGGACUGAGAUACGGCCCAGACUCCUACGGGAGGCAGCAGUGGGGAAUAUUGCACAAUGGGCGCAAGCCUGAUGCAGCGACGCCGCGUGAGGGAUGAAGGCCUUCGGGUUGUAAACCUCUUUCGUCAGGGAACAAGGCACUACGUUUUGGUGGUGUUGAGGGUACCUGGAUAAGAAGCGCCGGCUAACUACGU
This 487-nucleotide ribosomal RNA is filed under the name Actinomycetales bacterium 'ARUP UnID 101'. RNAcentral's name for it is "bacterial SSU rRNA". It matches the Rfam family "Bacterial small subunit ribosomal RNA", at positions 27 to 506 of the family's 1533-position model. Lineage: Bacteria; Bacillati; Actinomycetota; Actinomycetes; Actinomycetales. The record is from RNAcentral.